Penaeus indicus is the source of this 401-nucleotide long non-coding RNA. RefSeq lists it as uncharacterized. Lineage: Eukaryota; Metazoa; Arthropoda; Malacostraca; Decapoda; Penaeidae. The transcript is spliced from 3 exons. The record is from RefSeq and is a predicted model, not a curated record.
GCCUCGAGAGCUCAUUAUCUCCCUCGAGAUUUAACACAGCGCUGGAGGUGAAUCACAGCUUGCAAGUCAGGACGCCGAGUGACACGUCCUCUGCUGCUUCGUGAGGACACAACGCCUACUCAUAUAUUCAUGUGAGAAAUUAGAUGAUAUGAGAUGGGACCCUGACAGGUGUUCCACUCUGGGUUGAAGUGGACCUGUGAGCAAUAUUGGCUAAGAGGUGGAUCCAUACUCCUCAGGACUAGAACCUCACAACCGCAUGGAGUUUAUACUCAUACGCAGGGUAUACAAAAAGGAUGGAACAAAGGUCUCACCAGACACCUGCAUAGAAAACGCGCCACCGGAAAGAAAACGCGGCUACCACCCUCCUUUUUGCUGUUUUAUUCUAUUUGUUUCUGUUUUUG